CAUGUUUUGAUACUAUUAAAAAUUAUAAAACUCAAGCUAUUAAGGCUUCGUUUGGUUCGGGAUUAAAUAAAAACUAGUUAAUUUAGGGAUAAGUAUAAGUUCAAAGUUAAGCUUGGAGUAAACUAAUUUUACGUUUAGAUAAAAAUUAAGUUAUUCCCGGAAAUAAAAAAAAAAUAACAUUUAGAUAGAUAAGAUGAAAUAAGAAGAAUAAUGGAUAGUUAUAAAUAGAAAAUAAUAAUAUUGCCCCCUUAUAUUUGAAUUUAAAUUUUUAAAUUUUAUAUUUAAAAUUUAAAUUUAAAAUAUAGAACUUUAAAAAUUUAAAAAAUUAAAAUAAAAUUUAAAUUUUUAAAUCUCAAAUUCAAAAAUUUAGAGUUCUAAAUUUUAAAUUUAAGUUAAAUUUAAACUUAAAAUAUCAACUAUCAAAUUUUAAAUUUAAAAAAUUUAAAAUAAUAAUUUAAAAUUUAAAAUUAUAAAUAUCAAUUUUAAGAUUAUAAAAUUUAAAUUUAAAAAUAUAAAAUAUAAAUUUAAAUUUAAAAAUAUAAAAUUUAAAUUUAAAUUUAAAAUUAAAUUAUAAAUUUAAAAUUUAAAUUAAAAAAUUAAAUUCGGGUGGAAUC
Molecule: long non-coding RNA, 614 nt
Filed under: Ananas comosus (pineapple)
Lineage: Eukaryota; Viridiplantae; Streptophyta; Magnoliopsida; Poales; Bromeliaceae
Description: long non-coding RNA (ACOM_LNC032261)
Source: RNAcentral